This 431-nucleotide ribosomal RNA is filed under the name uncultured bacterium. RNAcentral describes it as "partial 16S ribosomal RNA". It matches the Rfam family "Bacterial small subunit ribosomal RNA", at positions 29 to 507 of the family's 1533-position model. The record is from RNAcentral.
AACGAACGCUGGCGGCAGGCCUAACACAUGCAAGUCGAGCGCCCCGCAAGGGGAGCGGCGGACGGGUGAGUACCGCGUGGGAAUAUGCCCUUUGCUACGGAAUAGUCUCGGGAAACUGGGGGUAAUACCGUAUACGCCCUUUGGGGGAAAGAUUUAUCGGCGAAGGAUUAGCCCGCGUUGGAUUAGGUAGUUGGUGGGGUAAUGGCCUACCAAGCCGACGAUCCAUAGCUGGUUUGAGAGGAUGAUCAGCCACACUGGGACUGAGACACGGCCCAGACUCCUACGGGAGGCAGCAGUGGGGAAUCUUAGACAAUAGGGGCAACCCUGAUCUAGCCAUGCCGCGUGAGUGAUGAAGGCCUUAGGGUUGUAAAGCUCUUUCAGCUGGGAAGAUAAUGACGGUACCAGCAGAAGAAGCCCCGGCUAACUCCGUG